This 99-nucleotide small RNA is filed under the name Chelonoidis abingdonii (Abingdon island giant tortoise). RNAcentral's name for it is "TUC338 (ENSCABG00000016489.1)". The record is from RNAcentral. Lineage: Eukaryota; Metazoa; Chordata; Testudines; Testudinidae.
UCCAAAGAAUAGGUAAAUCAUGGGCAGCAGCAGUUCAAGCUUCCCACCCUGUCUUGCUAUUGUGCCUCAAACUUGAACAGGAAGGCUCUCUGAUAGAGG